GUUUGGCUUCUUCCUCUAAGUGAAUCCUGUGUUGAACUAUGAAAGGGCUUAUUCCCUUAAUAUCAACCAUGGUCCAGCCUAUUGCUUCACGAUUCUUUUUCAGAAUUUCUAGCAACUCCUCUUCUUGUUUAGAAUUUAGGUCAGAUGCGAUAAUUACAGGCAAGGUUUCUUCUAGACCUAAAUAUGCAUAUUUAAGGUGUUUGGGGAGGGAUU
Molecule: long non-coding RNA, 213 nt
Filed under: Elaeis guineensis (African oil palm)
Lineage: Eukaryota; Viridiplantae; Streptophyta; Magnoliopsida; Arecales; Arecaceae
Description: long non-coding RNA (EGUI_LNC073339)
Source: RNAcentral